RNAcentral lists this ribosomal RNA (165 nucleotides) under uncultured Sphingobacteriales bacterium. Its description in RNAcentral is "partial 16S ribosomal RNA". It matches the Rfam family "Bacterial small subunit ribosomal RNA", at positions 1218 to 1382 of the family's 1533-position model. The record is from RNAcentral. Lineage: Bacteria; Pseudomonadati; Bacteroidota; Sphingobacteriia; Sphingobacteriales.
ACACGUGUUACAAUGGCCGGUACAGAGGGCAGCUACCUGGAGACAGGAUGCGAAUCUCGAAAGCCGGUCUCAGUUCGGAUCGGAGUCUGCAACUCGACUCCGUGAAGCUGGAUUCGCUAGUAAUCGCGCAUCAGCCAUGGCGCGGUGAAUACGUUCCCGGGCCUU